GACGAACGCUGGCGGCGUGCUUAACACAUGCAAGUCGAACGGAAAGGCCCUGCUUGCAGGGUACUCGAGUGGCGAACGGGUGAGUAACACGUGGGUGAUCUGCCCUGCACUUCGGGAUAAGCCUGGGAAACUGGGUCUAAUACCGGAUAGGAGCCACUUUUAGUGGGAUGGUUGGAAAGUUUUUUCGGUGUAGGAUGAGCUCGCGGCCUAUCAGCUUGUUGGUGGGGUAAUGGCCUACCAAGGCGGCGACGGGUAGCCGGCCUGAGAGGGUGGACGGCCACAUUGGGACUGAGAUACGGCCCAGACUCCUACGGGAGGCAGCAGUGGGGAAUAUUGCACAAUGGGCGCAAGCCUGAUGCAGCGACGCCGCGUGGGGGAUGACGGCCUUCGGGUUGUAAACUCCUUUCGCUAGGGACGAAGCUUUUUGUGACGGUACCUAGAUAAGAAGCACCGGCUAACUACGUG
This 465-nucleotide ribosomal RNA is filed under the name uncultured bacterium. RNAcentral's name for it is "partial 16S ribosomal RNA". It matches the Rfam family "Bacterial small subunit ribosomal RNA", at positions 28 to 507 of the family's 1533-position model. The record is from RNAcentral.